AGCGAACGCUGGCGGCAGGCUUAACACAUGCAAGUCGAGCGGGCAUCCUUGUGGUGUCAGCGGCAGACGGGUGAGUAACGCGUGGGAACGUGCCCUUCGGUUCGGUAUAACUCAGGGAAACUUGAGCUAAUACCGGAUACGUGCGAGAGCAGAAAGGUUUAUCUGCCGAAGGAUCGGCCCGCGUCUGAUUAGCUAGUUGGUGAGGUUAUGGCUCACCAAGGCGACGAUCAGUAGCUGGUCUGAGAGGAUGAUCAGCCACACUGGGACUGAGACACGGCCCAGACUCCUACGGGAGGCAGCAGUGGGGAAUAUUGGACAAUGGGGGCAACCCUGAUCCAGCCAUGCCGCGUGAGUGAUGACGGCCUUAGGGUUGUAAAGCUCUUUUCUCCGGGACGAUAAUGACGGUACCGGAGGAAUAAGCCCCGGCUAACUUCGUG
RNAcentral lists this ribosomal RNA (437 nucleotides) under uncultured bacterium. RNAcentral's name for it is "partial 16S ribosomal RNA". It matches the Rfam family "Bacterial small subunit ribosomal RNA", at positions 29 to 507 of the family's 1533-position model. The record is from RNAcentral.